UUGAUUCAAAACUUUAGAGUCUUCGAGUUUGAAAUUUCAAGAAACAGGUUUUUUUUAUAUUUAGUUCACAUAUAUGCAAACCUUUUGAAAAGUUUUUUAAAUUGGUGUUGUAUCUUGUUAUAAGUUAAAUACUUCAAUGUAAGUCUAUAUAGAAGAUUAAAGGGUGCAGUUAUUUGUACUUGUUUUUUAGCAUUAAUUUUUAAAUGAAACAGUACAACAUCACAAUUCUUUGCAAGAGAAGCAAGUCUUGAUAAUAAAGUGCAAAAGGUUGCGGAAUUUAAAAAAGACUUACCAAGAAGCAUUACUGGAAUUUAUUGUUAUGAUGAACUGUCAUCAAGUUUUAAGCCUAUGGGUGGAACAUAAACAUUAGUGUCGCAUGCAUCAAAGUUCGAUUUGGUCGAUAAGUAGAAGAUCAUUUGAAGAGAGCUCUUAAUAGAGUAGCAUAACAAUUAUUUUAUUACAUUUUUGUAUGUUUAUAUUGUAAAUGUUUGAUUUUUUAUUUUGGUAUGCUUAUAUUAUAA
Long non-coding RNA from Hydra vulgaris (swiftwater hydra), 521 nucleotides. RefSeq lists it as uncharacterized. NCBI's taxonomy places the organism in Eukaryota, Metazoa, Cnidaria, Hydrozoa, Anthoathecata, Hydridae. The record is from RefSeq and is a predicted model, not a curated record.